RNAcentral lists this non-coding RNA (30 nucleotides) under Mus musculus (house mouse). The record is from RNAcentral. Lineage: Eukaryota; Metazoa; Chordata; Mammalia; Rodentia; Muridae.
UNGGAUUAAGGGUGUGUACCACCAUGCCUA